GUAAUACAUCGGAACGUGUCCUGUAGUGGGGGAUAGCCCGGCGAAAGCCGGAUUAAUACCGCAUACGCUCUACGGAGGAAAGGGGGGGAUCUUAGGACCUCCCGCUACAGGGGCGGCCGAUGGCAGAUUAGCUAGUUGGUGGGGUAAAGGCCUACCAAGGCGACGAUCUGUAGCUGGUCUGAGAGGACGACCAGCCACACUGGGACUGAGACACGGCCCAGACUCCUACGGGAGGCAGCAGUGGGGAAUUUUGGACAAUGGGGGCAACCCUGAUCCAGCAAUGCCGCGUGUGUGAAGAAGGCCUUCGGGUUGUAAAGCACUUUUGUCCGGAAAGAAAACGCCGUGGUUAAUACCCGUGGCGGAUGACGGUACCGGAAGAAUAAGCACCGGCUAACUACGUGCCAGCAGCCGCGGUAAUACGUAGGGUGCAAGCGUUAAUCG
RNAcentral lists this ribosomal RNA (441 nucleotides) under Burkholderia sp. Z4_15. RNAcentral's name for it is "bacterial SSU rRNA". It matches the Rfam family "Bacterial small subunit ribosomal RNA", at positions 110 to 547 of the family's 1533-position model. Lineage: Bacteria; Pseudomonadati; Pseudomonadota; Betaproteobacteria; Burkholderiales; Burkholderiaceae. The record is from RNAcentral.